RNAcentral lists this ribosomal RNA (117 nucleotides) under Paenibacillus psychroresistens. Lineage: Bacteria; Bacillati; Bacillota; Bacilli; Caryophanales; Paenibacillaceae. The record is from RNAcentral.
UUUGGUAAUGAUGGCGGAGGGGAACCACACGUUCCCAUCUCGAACACGACCGUUAAGCCCUCCAGCGCCAAGGGUACUUGAACCGCAGGGUUCUGGGAGAGUAGGACGUUGCCAAGC